AGUAAGGGCGACUGAAAGGGGACCAGCCCAGCGCAUAACCUCGCGGUCUGAUACGGCCGUCGAGGGGUGUUGCGUUUUGGUGGAUCCGUACCGCUCGAGCUGCUGACCGCCUAAGUCAUUGCUUGAAUGCAGCCCCGAGGAGGGUGGUAGGCCCGUGUGGCGGCGCCUGUAAAAAGGUUUUAGGCAGCUUGGGCGGAGGGGUCUUUACCGUAGAGUCGGGUUGCUUAGUACUGCAGCCCUAAGUAGGUGGUAAACUCCAUCUAAGGCUAAAUACUACCACGAGUCCGAUAUUGGACAAGUACCGUGAGGGAAAGCUGAAAAGGACUCUGAAGAGAGAGUUCAAGAGGACGUGAAACCAUUAGAAGCUCAAACGGGUGGAACCGUGAAGGUCGAAAGAGGGGAUUCAGCUGGCAGGGCGUGGGCUCUAGCGGCGGUUCAAGUUGCAUUUCAGUGAGAGGACCCGGCCAUGAAGUUUGUGGCGGCGGCCCCGCCGCUGGUGUGCCGCGACCUGCGGGCUUAUUUCUCCCUCGAGUAGAGUGGGUCGCGACCCGCUGUCCGGGCUCCCAGGGCCGUGCGGGACUGGUAGCCCGCGCCUUUGGCGCGGGUGAUGACCCGCUGCGGUGCUGACCGGGCCUGGGCGGCGGUCACUGCAAGGAGGCCGCGGAGAGAAGAAUGCGGCCUCUCGCGACGUGAGAGGGAUUGGUAAUCCACCCGACCCGUCUUGAAACACGGACCAAGGAGUCCAACAUGUGCGCGAGUCUAAGGGUUGUCUAAACCCGGAGGCGAAAUGAAAGUGAGCUCUGUAGUCUGGGCAGGCCGAUCCCCUGCUGGCUGGGGCCCGUUGGGCCAGCCGGGUCGAGAGAAUGUCCCUGGCUGGUUCCGGCGGGCGUCCGGCCGGCGGCCCGUCGGUCUGGCGACCGGCGGGAGGUGGGGCGCAGGCCGAGGACUUGGCGUGGUGCGGCCCGGGGAACGGGGGGCUUCCGGGCUCCCUGGACCCGUGGUCCGCGGCCAAGUACCUGAGAGCGCAGCCGUUGGGACCCGAAAGAUGGUGAACUAUGCCUGGCGAGGACGAAGCCAGAGGAAACUCUGGUGGAGGUCCGAAGCAGUUCUGACGUGCAAAUCGAUUGUCAGAGCUGGGUAUAGGGGCGAAAGACUAAUCGAACCAUCUAGUAGCUGGUUCCCUCCGAAGUUUCCCUCAGGAUAGCUGGCAUUCGGAGGUGUGAGUUUCAUCCGGUAAAGCGAAUGAUUAGAGGCCUUGGUGGUGCAAUGCCGUCAACCUAUUCUCAAACUUUAAAUGGGUGAGACGUGGAGCUUGCUUGAGACGUGAAGCUCUAUGAUGCAAAGAAUCAGAGUGCCUAGUGGGCCACUUUUGGUAAGCAGACUG
This 1384-nucleotide ribosomal RNA is filed under the name Palaemon elegans. RNAcentral describes it as "eukaryotic LSU rRNA". It matches the Rfam family "Eukaryotic large subunit ribosomal RNA", at positions 82 to 1152 of the family's 3401-position model. The record is from RNAcentral. Lineage: Eukaryota; Metazoa; Arthropoda; Malacostraca; Decapoda; Palaemonidae.